RNAcentral lists this ribosomal RNA (523 nucleotides) under Blepharisma japonicum. RNAcentral describes it as "partial Eukaryotic large subunit ribosomal RNA". It matches the Rfam family "Eukaryotic large subunit ribosomal RNA", at positions 937 to 1449 of the family's 3401-position model. The record is from RNAcentral. Lineage: Eukaryota; Ciliophora; Heterotrichea; Heterotrichida; Blepharismidae.
GAACCAUCUAGUAGCUGGUUCCCUCCGAAAUAUCCCUCAGGAUAGCUAGAACCUAUAUUAGUUAUGUCAGGUAAAGCUAAUGAUUAGAGGUCUUGGAGUUUAAUAGACUUCAACCUAUUCUCAAACUUUAAAUAGGCAAGAAAUAAGUGUUACAUCGGAAUUUCGAACACUUAUAACAAAUAAGGGCUCUAAGUGGGCCGUGUUUUGGUAAGCAGAACAGGCAAAGUGGGUUGAACCGUUAGCAAAUGGGAAAAGCGCCAAAUAUUUACAUAGUGGAAACCAUAAAAGGCGUUGAUUCAUAAAGACAGCAGGAAUGUGGUCAUGGAAGUCGAAAUCAUCUAAGAAGUGUGUAACAACUUACCUGCCGAAUGAAUCAGCCCUGAAAAUUGAUGGCGCCAUAGUAAAUAGCUUCUCCCAUGCCAUUGUUCUAGGUUGCGAUAUAAAGAACAAUGAGUAGGAAGGCGUGACGGUUGCUUUGAAACUCUAUCUAGUAAUUAAGAGUGGAGCGUCCGUUAGUGCAGAU